Molecule: ribosomal RNA, 497 nt
Filed under: uncultured bacterium
Lineage: Bacteria
Description: partial 16S ribosomal RNA
Rfam family: Bacterial small subunit ribosomal RNA
Source: RNAcentral
GAUGAACGCUGGCGGCGUGCCUAAUACAUGCAAGUCGAGCGAACGGACGAGAAGCUUGCUUUUCUGAUGUUAGCGGCGGACGGGUGAGUAACACGUGGAUAACCUACCUAUAAGACUGGGAUAACUUCGGGAAACCGGAGCUAAUACCGGAUAAUAUUUUGAACCGCAUGGUUCAAAAGUGAAAGACGGUCUUGCUGUCACUUAUAGAUGGAUCCGCGCUGCAUUAGCUAGUUGGUAAGGUGACGGCUUACCAAGGCAACGAUGCAUAGCCGACCUGAGAGGGUGAUCGGCCACACUGGAACUGAGACACGGUCCAGACUCCUACGGGAGGCAGCAGUAGGGAAUCUUCCGCAAUGGGCGAAAGCCUGACGGAGCAACGCCGCGUGAGUGAUGAAGGUCUUCGGAUCGUAAAACUCUGUUAUUAGGGAAGAACAUAUGUGUAAGUAACUGUGCACAUCUUGACGGUACCUAAUCAGAAAGCCACGGCUAACUACGCG